RNAcentral lists this ribosomal RNA (429 nucleotides) under Bacillota bacterium. Its description in RNAcentral is "Firmicutes bacterium partial 16S ribosomal RNA". It matches the Rfam family "Bacterial small subunit ribosomal RNA", at positions 355 to 776 of the family's 1533-position model. The record is from RNAcentral. Lineage: Bacteria; Bacillati; Bacillota.
UGGGGAAUUUUGGACAAUGGGGGCAACCCUGAUCCAGCAAUGCCGCGUGUGUGAAGAAGGCCUUCGGGUUGUAAAGCACUUUUGUCCGGCAAGAAAACUUCGGGGCUAAUACCCCUGGAGGAUGACGGUACCGGCAGAAUAAGCACCGGCUAACUACGUGCCAGCAGCCGCUGUAAUACGUAGGGUGCGAGCGUUAAUCGGAAUUACUGGGCGUAAAGCGUGCGCAGGCGGUGCUGUAAGACCGAUGUGAAAUCCCCGGGCUUAACCUGGGAACUGCAUUGGUGACUGCAGCGCUGGAGUAUGGCAGAGGGGGGUGGAAUUCCACGUGUAGCAGAGAAAUGCGUAGAGAUGUGGAGGAACACCGAUGGCGAAGGCAGCCCCCUGGGCCAAUACUGACGCUCAUGCACGAAAGCGUGGGGAGCAAACAGG